Long non-coding RNA from Oncorhynchus kisutch (coho salmon), 1668 nucleotides. Lineage: Eukaryota; Metazoa; Chordata; Actinopteri; Salmoniformes; Salmonidae. The record is from Ensembl.
AUGUUGGCCAAUGUUGAAGUUACUGUCAGUGUAGUUGUGGUUAUAUCACUUGAAGUUAAAGUCGAUGUUAUUGAGGAAGAGGUGGCAUCACUUGAAGUGACUGGCGAUUUUCUUGAGGGAGUGGUGGCAUCACUUGAAGUGAAUGUUGAAGGAACAGUUUUAUUGCUUGAAGUGACUGCUGAUGUUGAUGUAGUAGUAGUGGCAUCACUUGAAGUGACUAUUGAUGUAGAUGAGGGAGUGGUGACAUCAUUUGAAGUUGAUGUCGAUACAGUUGAGGGAUUGGUGGCAUCACUUGAAGAGACUGCUGAUGUUGAUAUAGUAGCGGUGGCAUCACUUGAAGAGACUGUUGAUGUCGAGGGAGAGAUGGCAUCACUUGAACUGAAUGGUGAUGUAGUAGUGGUGGCAUCACUUGUAGUGACUAUUGAUGUAGAUGAGGGAGUGGUGGCAUUAUUUGAAGUGAAUAUUGAUGUCGAGGGAGAGGUGGCAUCACUUGAACUGAAUGCUGAUAUAGUAGCGGUGGCACCACUUGAAGUGAAUGUUGAAGGAACAGUGAUAUCGCUUGAAGUGACUGCUGAUGUUGAUGUAGUAGUGGUGGCAUCACUUGAAGUGACUAUUGAUGUAGAUGAGGGUGUGGUGGCAUCACUUGAAGUGGCUUUUGAGGGAGUGGUGGAAUCGCUUGAAAUGACUGUUAAUGUCGGUGUAGUAGUGGUGGCAUCAUUUGAAGUUGAUGUCGUUGCAGUAGAGGGAUUGGUGGCAUCACUUGAAGUGAAUAUUGAUGUCGAGGGAGAGGUGCCAUUACUUGAAGUGAAUAUUGAUGUUGAGGGAGUGGUGGCAUCACUUGAAGUGAAUGCUGAUGUUGAUGUGGUAUCGGUGGCACCACUUGAAGUGAAUGUUGAGGGUGUAGUGGCAUCACUUGAAGCGACUGUCGAUGUAGUUGAGAGAAUGUUGGCCAAUGUUGAAGUUACUGUCAGUGUAGUUGUGGUUAUAUCACUUGAAGUUAAAGUCGAUGUUAUUGAGGAAGAGGUGGCAUCACUUGAAGUGACUGGCGAUUUUCUUGAGGGAGUGGUGGCAUCACUUGAAGUGAAUGUUGAAGGAACAGUUUUAUUGCUUGAAGUGACUGCUGAUGUUGAUGUAGUAGUGGUGGCAUCACUUGAAGUGACUAUUGAUGUAGAUGAGGGAGUGGUGGCAUCACUUGAAGUGGCUUUUGAGGGAGUGGUGGAAUCGCUUGAAAUGACUGUUAAUGUCGGUGUAGUAGUGGUGGCAUCACUUGAAGUGAAUGCUGAUGUUGAUGUGGUAUCGGUGGCAUCACUUGAAGUGACUAUUGAUGUAGAUGAGGGAGUGGUGGCAUCAUUUGAAGUUGAUGUCGAUACAGUUGAGGGAUUGGUGGCAUCACUUGAAGAGACUGCUGAUGUUGAUAUAGUAGCGGUGGCAUCACUUGAAGAGACUGUUGAUGUCGAGGGAGAGGUGGCAUCACUUGAACUGAAUGCUGAUGUAGUAGUGGUGGCAUCACUUGAAGUGACUAUUGAUGUAGAUGAGGGAGUGGUGGCAUCAUUUGAAGUUGAUGUCGAUGCAGUUGAGGGAUUGGUGGCGUCACUUGGAGUGACUGUUGAAGCAGUGGUUACAUCACUUGAAGAGACUACUGAAAUUGAUGUUGUAGCGGUGGCAUGA